Molecule: long non-coding RNA, 4535 nt
Organism: Clupea harengus (Atlantic herring)
Lineage: Eukaryota; Metazoa; Chordata; Actinopteri; Clupeiformes; Clupeidae
Exons: 2
Source: RefSeq, a predicted model, not a curated record
UGCUACUGGAGUAGUUGUUACUUUACUGUAAAUUAAACCUCGACCGUUCGGUCAUGCCGGGAAAUAUCAAACGUCGGCUCGCUGUCGCUCGGUUGAUACAUUAAAGCCUCAGUCUGAUAUUUCCCGGCAUGACCUCACUCUCGGUUAGUAAGUAGUUAAUAAAACUUAAGAAGAACAAUAUCUAUGCAAAGGCUUUUGGCACUUGUGUACUUAAUGUAAACGUGUCACAUUCUUGUUGGGGAAGAAAUGUGGACAAUGGAUGUUUGAUCUUUAGGUGGUUUUGUCACUGCACCAUUUGUUUACAGGAUGAUUCACAUGAGGUGCAACUGAUAAAGUAAUAUGAUAAAGCCACCAAUAUUCUUCACUAUGAACAAAUGGACUCUAAAGAGUCUACUCACUAUUUUUAUUAACUAUUGUAAACUUCCGAAUGUCUGUUUCCAGUAAAACUGAUACAUGUUUACUUUGUCUAUAUGCUGUGGUAUUGGAACUACUGUUAUAUGAUAUAAUAUGGUCAUGAAACACGGACAUUUGCUACAUUCAACAGCCAACACCCUUGUUCAUGAAUUGUGCUAUGAAUGAGUGAUGAGUCUAGCUUUACAGGGAUGUAUUGUUCCUGUGGAUCGAGCAAUCAUGGGUCCAAUUCCCAGGGGGCCUACAUGGGCUACUGAUGAAAAUGGGUAUCUGUACUCUAAGUUGCUUUGGAUAAAAGCAUCUGCUAAAUUAGUAAAUUGGAUUGGAGUAAACGCUUUGGAGGAUGGUCUCUGGCUGUAGAUCAUCAUUGCUCUAAAGACAGUGAAGGAAAUGAUGAACCUGCACAGCAGUAAUGUCACCUCAGUACAAGUAUGUAUAUGUCUGUGUAGAUCGAGGCUGUAGGUUGUUUAUGUGUUUGUAUGUUUGUGUGUGUGAUUGCUUCUAUGACCAGACUGGUCUGUCUGUAUCAAUGAUUGUAGCUCCCUCAGCAGACUGAUGUAACUGCUUGUUUCCAUGGCAACUCCACGCAGUGCCUGACCCCAGUACAGUACAUGCACACAGUUUUGGCAGUGCGCUGACCUACUUUUAGUGCUGUGUUCUCCCACACACACAGAUGCACUACACUGGAAGAGCUCAUAUGCACUGCUAUGCACACCCACAAGCAUGCACCCGUACAUGGGCCCCUAUACACACACACACACACACACACACUUAAUAAGCUGGCAAACAUGUAGGUUGUGUACACAUAUCUACUUAUGUCCCUUCACAGACACAUACUUCCAGUAUAGUACGCGUGUAGGCCUACAUAGCUGGAGAUUGAAUGUCUGAAGGGGUACGGGACUGUAAAAAGUUUGGGAACCACUGGCCUACAGCAAUGAAUGAUAAAUAAAUAGAUAAAUAUUUCACACAGGCUACAAAUAAUAAUGCAAUAUGCUGCCCAUAGACCAAGUUUCUUCACACAGUUUUCAAAAUGCAUCUUUAUGAUGACACGCGCUAGUUUGCACAAUAAAUAUUACAUUCCAUUAAGUGGGUGAUUGAAAACACAAGGGCUUGGUUUUGGCACAGAUACCUCGAUUUUAUUUGAUUACGAUUCAGUCCAUGAAUUUUACAGAUCAAUAUUGAUUAUCAGACGAUUAAAAAAAUAAAUAAAUACUAUUUAGCGCAAAACUAUGUUAUUGCACACCCCUAAAAAACACUGAACAAAAAAUCAUUUGAAUUGUCAUAAUUCAUGCAUGAAUGUUAAAGAUGUGUUUGUCUCAACUUUGUAGCUAUCUAAUUGUGAGCAUACAUUUCUAAAACUACUAACGGUUUGACUUUAAAAAUUAUUAUUUUAACCUUAUGAGCUUUGAGGUAUAAUAUUUGUAAAGUGAUAUUGGACUACUUUCCCUUCAAAGCUUCUAUGUGGUAAUUUUUGUCUUGGAGCUAUCUAGGACUAUCCAUUUCAUUAGAUGCAGAUUACUUACUGUUUUGUGUAGCCUUCAUAUGAAGAAACUAAGAAAAAAGAGAGAACCAGUGGAACAGUCCUUCCCCCUUGUUACAAAGUUACAAAUUAAGAAAACAUCAAAGAGGCUCUUAAACACAAACUCGCCAUAGGCUACAAUGUACUAUUUCUGUAAAAUACUAUUUAACAUCUAUGGAUGGAAAUUGGCAAUUUCAACAACUGGGCCAAGGAAAAUUGGGCGACUGUCAAAAGAAAAUCCAUUGAAAAGAAAAAAGGUACAUUACCAGUAGCCAGUGAAAACAAAAGGCAUUAACUUAUCAGUAAAGACUUUCUGGACAAAAUUAAAAGAAGGGAGAAAUUACAAGGAAGUCCACUGAUUGGGCAGUAAGUGUGUUUGUUGAUCUACAGACAUUUUAUGCGACCAAGCUGAUGGUUUGAUCAACAUCAAACCAAACUGAACAGAGUUCUCACAACUCACAAUACAGAUUCAUUUUUGCCCAGCGCAGUGACCCCCUUUAUAUUGAAAACCUACUCAGUUUCUUGGGCCUGCCUAGGUCAGAAAACAUGUGAUUCAACAAGCCAUUCAGGUUUGGCUCUCUACCUCGACAUCUAGAUGGGAGGCUCAUUAGAAUUAUACUGCCCGAGUAUCUGAGUAUCUCCACCCACGGCUUGAGAACUACCUUUGCGACGGUCCGUGUUUUUCUUGCAAGCGCCGGACUCGCUUGUAUUAUGUUAAAGCUAAGCGCUAAGCUCGGAAACUGCUCUACUCUCGACUGCACAGACCAAUACAUCGCUGAAUCGGCCCUGAGCCUCAGAGGACAGUUUAUUUUUGAUGGCAACGUCCCAGCUACAGUUGGCACAAACCUGUACGUGUGUGUUAACCACUUUGUGUUUUUUCCAACCUGGUUCAGUACAACAUUGGAUUGGCAGCGAAACUUUUCCUAAAAGAGGGAUCAAUACCAACUGUCCGUGGCAAAACUGCAGACGGGGGAAAUGUAAGUAUUGAAAAUAUCAUUAUACUAUGGGUUUCUUUGGCUGUUUAGCACUAGCCAACUCUAACAUCUGAGGUCAUUUUCUAGAAAGUUAUUGGCCUUCCUUGCUGCAGGAUCCACAAUACCAUUAAAACUGUUUGUUUGUUAAUUUAAUGUCUUUAAGAUGAACUUCAUCUUAUAAACACUCUUAAAGAACCUGAAAGUAAAAUGAGAGAAUGGUUGUAGAUGUUUCCAGAGUGUUCCUUGGUGAUGAUUUUAUAGAGAUUCACAAGACUUAUCAGUUCAGUUAUCGCUGAAUCACUGAAGCCAUUUCAGCUGUGCCUACUGUCCCUCGUGUAGCUGGUCUGCAGUCAAAGUUACAGUUGUGUUCCACUCAGAUAAUCAGAGGUUAGCAAUAUUAGCAUGUUGUGGUAGAGGAAAGUGUUGUUUACGUCCACCUAUAAUUUGGCAAACUAGCACGCUAUGCAGUGUAUGUAUGUCGGUGAGUGUCGCUGCUAGAAUGAGGCCUGACCUCGGAGCAAACUGGGUGUUGUAUAGCAAUCACUUAAUUCAGUUCAGGAGGCACAUCUGACCUACUAUUAAACUGGCUGCUACACCAGAAAGAGAAAAAGCAAGUUGCAAUCACUCUGAUGCAGCUCGAUCAUUAGUAUUGUCAAUACAAUUUUUCUUGCUUCGCCAAAGUCUAUUGCUCACUUGAAAAGCUCUAGGUCAUGCUUAAGGAUGUGAGUACCUGUGAGGUUUUUACUGAGAGAAAACAUGAAAUGGACUAUCAUCAUUAUUGACUGUACCAACCAUGGAAAGCUUGCACUGGCCGAAGAACAAAACUGCAAAAACAGUAAAGUUCUAAUGGAAUAUCUUAAAUGCUUAUGAGAGAUUUGCUUUUACUCCAUGUUUGUAGGCAUAGGUUUGCAAGGAUUAUCUGUCAGAUGAGUUCCCUACUAAUUAUAGUUAUAUCUGCAUUUAUGUUUGCAGUGUAUUAUUGCUUUUUGUGACAUUGGAGCACAUACAAAAAGCACAUACAUUAAAUAUGGCUGCCCUUGGUGUUUAGGGAAGCACAUCUGGACAGUUGGCUGUGUUGCAUCAUAUGGCUUGCCAGACGGACCCACCGAAGGGAUGCACAGUUGGCACACAGCUUUCUAUCCAAACUCCCCAACCUCACUUCUGAAGUAUAGGCACACAGAAAACUGUCCUGCACUGAUGUUUGUGUUGGCACCCCUCAACAGUUUCCUUCACGACUUCACAACCGAAGUGACCACAAUUGGAACUGGAGGAGGAAGAGGAGACCCCUUUAGAAGGCAGCUCAUCUAUGGUCAAUCGAGAGGCUCUACAUGUGAUCCUGCAGACUUGCAAAGCCUCUAUAGGCCAAGUAUUCAAGUAUCUGUAACGGCUGAGCAAAGUGUAUAUGAUAUUAACAGUCAAUGGUGACACCCAUUUAUAGUGUGUCUAUCUUUUUGUAGUAUGGCUUCUUUGAAACCUCACUGAUGAGACAAUAUUUUUUUUAUAAUUUUGCCUAUUGCCUAUAAACAAUCAGGACUACUGUACAAGGUGUAACAUUGAAUAACUUUUCAAAAGUGGUGUGGUUUUUGCUGUAGCAAUAGUUCAAUAAACAAUAAACUUCAAGUCUAUAUAAA